GCGGGAGGGCGAACGGGCGCUCGCUGGGACCGCCGGUGACCCGGGAUCUGGGCCACACGGGGAGAUGGGAAGUGCUCCAGCCACACUGCCCGAGUUGCAGAGGGCAAAGGCAGGGCCUGGGAAACUGAAGAAUCACCUGCUGGAGAAGUUUGGGUUCAAGGCCCUCUAAAGCACCUGAAGGUGCACAAGCCCAUGGCACCUGAUGAGAUGUAUCCACAGGUCCUGAAGGAACUGGUGGAUGAAGUGGCUAAGCCACUAUCCAUCAUACUUGAGAAGUUGUGGCAUUCUGGUGCAACUUCCACUGACAGUAAAAGGGGAAACAUAACCCCCAUUUGAAAAAGGGAAAAAAGAAAGAUCCAGAGUACUACAGGAUGGUCAGUCUUAUCUCUGUGCCUGGCAAGAUCAUGGAGCAAGUCCUUCUGGAAACUCUGAUCCAGUUUCUGACAGUGGCAGGCAGCACUGCAUGGAGAGAUGGGCAAGAAAAAGACAAAAGCAGUGUUCGUUCCCCUGUGAUCCUGCUUCCAGGAGCAUUUCCGUAACACACAUGGUACCACUGCUUUUUGUGCCCUGUGAAAAGGCUCUGUUUGGGAUGAGGCCCAAGCUCAGCUCCUGCACUGAUCAGACUUGGUUGCCAGGCUGGUGAGUGCCCCACUGCAGUCACAUCAACCCUCCUGCCUGCCAGCAGCUUGGACCACUCGCUAGGAGCCAGCAUGGAAGGGACUAGGAAGAGGAAAAGGGAAGCCACAGAGAUUGUUGGAGGGGCUGUGCCCAUCAUCCAUGGCAGAGGCCUUGCUGUAACCUCAUGGUGCCUGUGAUGGGGUUUCCUGGCUCUGAGUAUGCUCCCAUCAGUCAGCCACACACUGAUCCUAGUCCUACACCAGGAUCCCAGUCACAAGCUCCUACCAGGCGUGGCUCAAGAGAACUUCAGUUCAAGGCAGCUGCAGGUCUAGCAAAGGAGACCUUUUGAUUUACCAGGCUCCUGGGCUCAGCUGUCAGCAGAGUAGUCAAGCAGCUCAAGAUGAAGGAAAGGCAGUUUUGUGGCACAAACCUCAAAUCCUGCAACAGGACAAUCCUCAGUAACGCAGGAACCCUUCACUUCUUCUCUUUGAGGCUAGAGAGCAGCAUGGCAGAAGCAAAGCUGUCCUGAUUAUACCAACAGACUGGAAACACAUGUGCCCUAGCACAAUGCUCCUUCUUCCCACAUGCCACUACCCUGUCCUCUUUAUUUUUAUCCCUUCCAGCUGCAUCCCAGCAUGCAUGCUCAUACCAAAAAUGCCCAACCAGAGUAAAAACCAACAGCCCUUAGCUUCUGGUGCCUGUAAUUCAGCAAUGGCCUGAGAAACUUGGUCCCAGCUGCUGCAGAACCCCCCAGGAAGAAGCACAUUCACUGCACAUCACCUGUACUACAUUUUGUUAAAGCUGAGCGACAUACUGCAUGUCCAAGUGAGGAACAGUCCACAGGAGGCAGGAUGGAAAUCCCCCUGGGGGAUUUCACAAGGGUGCUGUGAAACACACACAACUUCUUGACUUUUCUGAGAAUUCAGCUGCUCAUCAGUGGGGCUCCUGCCACCACCUGUCCCACAGGGUGAGCCAAGGCUCAGGACAAGGAACAGCCAGGCUGGGGCUGGCAGAAGCAGUAAGCUUGAGGCCCACAGGCAGAAAAAUAAACCUGCUGAAAAAAGAAUAAAUCAGUUUUGCAAUCAACAGAGGUGGAAAAGCAGGAAAUGGAGGGAACAAACCACACAAGGUGGAAUUUGGAAAGACUUAGCUCAAAUCCACAUAUCCACUGCCCAAAGGCCAAAAGGGUAUUGAUGCCAACCCCGAGUGGAGCUCCAACAACCUCUGUUCAUACAUUCAGACGCCCAGCUUCUGUGUUUGGCACAACCAUUUAAUAGCAGAAUUGAAAACUCAGUAUGUUCCAUUUUAGUCUUAUGUGGAAAAUCAGUGCAGGUGAUAAUCUAAUUGUACAACAACAUGUUAAAAAAAUUUAUUUUACAUUAUAUACAUUAGGGAACAUAUUUCAAAGCAUUACCAAUCACAACAAUAACGCAGGCCAUAAAUCACUUUUAAUUUAGUUUGGUUUUAGUGUAUAUUAUCACAAUAAAAUAUAAAGAACAUAUACAAAAAAAGGAGUCAAAUGUGUGCAUUUUGCUUAAAACUUGGCAUUUACACACUCCAUUGGAAAAUAGCAAUCAAAAAUACUUCUGAUCAAAACUAAGUUCCCGUGAUGCGUAGUAACCAUUGUAUUGUUUCAAUGAGGUAGUAACUAAAUUUUGGCCAUGUGUUAACAUCCUAAAAUCAAGAAAAGUGUGAAAAUGGUUGUAAGGCCAAAAAAAAAGUCAAAAUGGCAACAUCUCUGAGCCAUUUCCACAAUGUGGAAUGUUGCUCCUUUUCAUUGUGAUAUGAAACUAUGUAGUAAGACAAACAGUAAUAACUACUUUUUAUCAUUGUAUACACUAAUAAUUCAAACACCUAUUGCAGAAUUACAGCCAGGUACCACUAGUCUGGGACUGACACCCAUCCAUAAGGUAUUGUUUUCAAGCAUAGAGAAGUAAUCAUAAGGAAAGUUUUAAUUAAAUAUAAAAAAUACAGGUGUUUAACUGGUUUGUUUCACAAAGAAAUCUACCCAA
Corvus hawaiiensis (hawaiian crow) is the source of this 2630-nucleotide long non-coding RNA. RefSeq lists it as uncharacterized. The record is from RefSeq and is a predicted model, not a curated record. The transcript has 3 exons. NCBI's taxonomy places the organism in Eukaryota, Metazoa, Chordata, Aves, Passeriformes, Corvidae.